UACGUAGGGGGCAAGCGUUGUCCGGAUUUAUUGGGCGUAAAGAGCGUGUAGGCGGCCUGACAGGUCUGCUGUGAAAACUCGAGGCCCAACCUCGAGAUGUCGGCGGAAACCGUCUGGCUAGAGUCCGGAAGAGGAGAGUGGAAUUCCUGGUGUAGCGGUGAAAUGCGCAGAUAUCAGGAAGAACACCUAUGGCGAAGGCAGCUCUCUGGGACGGUACUGACGCUGAGACGCGAAAGCGUGGGGAGCGAACAGG
RNAcentral lists this ribosomal RNA (253 nucleotides) under uncultured bacterium. Its description in RNAcentral is "partial 16S ribosomal RNA". It matches the Rfam family "Bacterial small subunit ribosomal RNA", at positions 524 to 776 of the family's 1533-position model. The record is from RNAcentral.